CAGCAGCCACGGGAAUACGAAGGGGGCUAGCGUUGUUCGGAUUUACUGGGCGUAAAGCGCACGUAGGCGGACUUUUAAGUCAGGGGUGAAAUCCCGGGGCUCAACCCCGGAACUGCCUUUGAUACUGGAAGUCUUGAGUAUGGUAGAGGUGAGUGGAAUUCCGAGUGUAGAGGUGAAAUUCGUAGAUAUUCGGAGGAACACCAGCGGCGAAGGCGGCUCACUGGACCAUUACUGACGCUGAGGUGCGAAAGCGUGGGGAGCAAACAGGAUUAGAUACCCCCGUAGUCCCUGUCUCUUAUAC
RNAcentral lists this ribosomal RNA (301 nucleotides) under uncultured bacterium. RNAcentral describes it as "partial 16S ribosomal RNA". It matches the Rfam family "Bacterial small subunit ribosomal RNA", at positions 509 to 807 of the family's 1533-position model. The record is from RNAcentral.